ACCUAUAGAAUAGGUUAGUACCCUAUUUAUAUUCUAUAAAUACCCUUUUAAAAUAUUACAUUCUAUAAAUACCCUUUUUAGUUUAUAGCAAAAAAUUUAAAUUUAGUUCCAUCCUAAAAUUAAGGCUUAAUAUAUGCUACAAAAUAUUUUUCUAUCUCAUUUUUUUUUAUUUUCUCUCACCUAAUUAGCGUAUAUCUCCUCUCAUCAGCUUUUCUCUCUCUUCUUCAAUACACUUUUCCCUCUUCUCCCACAAACACACGUUCCAUACACUUCAAAAACCCUCCUCCGCCAUUAUCGCCUAUACUUCUCCGCCAUUAUCACCCCACACGCCAUUCUUCUUCGCAACUGUUCUCAAGCGUAUUUUGACGGGCAAGUUGGUUCUCAAAUGUUUUUUAGAGCUUCACAGUUUUAUUUUGGAAAUCUUCUCCCCGUAGGAUUCUUUGAGUUUUCUCUCUAAUGUCGGAUGCAACGCCACUCAACAGACUACCCAGAGGUUUAUCAGCAUCCAAAGUUGAUGAAAGAAGAAGUAAAUUACACAAUGACAAGUUGAAAGAAGUCCAAGUUGAUGAAGCUUCAAAAGAAACCAAAAAUCAAGUUGGCUCAAAGAGGAAAAAACCUAUGAAAGAUUCAAGAAACCAAAAGGUAAUUGGUAUUUGUUACAUGUAUUCUGUUGUAUUCA
This is a non-coding RNA of Nicotiana tabacum (common tobacco), 679 nucleotides long. The record is from RefSeq and is a predicted model, not a curated record. Lineage: Eukaryota; Viridiplantae; Streptophyta; Magnoliopsida; Solanales; Solanaceae.